CUUGAAACACGGACCAAGGAGUUUAUUGUAUGUGCGAGUCAUUAAGUGAUCAAACUUAUUGGCGUAAUGAAAGUAAAGUAUUCUUUAUCGAAUAUGAUAUAUGAUUGUUAUUCGUUUACGGAGAACAAGUAGUAUAGUCCCAUCUAAUUUGCUUGCAAAUGGGUGGAGAUAGAGCAUAUGCAAUGAGACCCGAAAGAUGGUGAACUAUGCCUGAGCAGGAUGAAGUCAGAGGAAACUCUGAUGGAAGUCCGAAGCGGUUCUGACGUGCAAAUCGAUCGUCUGACUUGGGUAUAGGGGCGAAAGACUAAUCGAACCAUC
RNAcentral lists this ribosomal RNA (318 nucleotides) under Panagrolaimus sp. AS02. Its description in RNAcentral is "eukaryotic LSU rRNA". It matches the Rfam family "Eukaryotic large subunit ribosomal RNA", at positions 653 to 944 of the family's 3401-position model. The record is from RNAcentral. Lineage: Eukaryota; Metazoa; Nematoda; Chromadorea; Rhabditida; Panagrolaimidae.